AGCAGCCGCGGUAAUUCCAGCUCCAAUAGCGUAUAUUAAAGUUGUUGCAGUUAAAAAGCUCGUAGUUGAAUUUCGGGGUCAGUAGGUCGGUCGUGCCACUGGUAUGAACUGGUUUUACUGAUUCCUCCCUCUUGAAGAACUGUAAUGCCAUUAAUUUGGUGUUGCAGGGAAUCAGGACUGUUACUUUGAAAAAUUAGAGUGUUUAAAGCAGGCUUUAGCUUGAAUACAUUAGCAUGGAAUAAUGAAAUAGGACGUUUGAUCCUAUUUUGUUGGUUUCUAGGAUUGACGUAAUGAUUAAUAGGGAUAGUUGGGGGCAUUAGUAUUCAAUUGUCAGAGGUGAAAUUCUUGGAUUUAUUGAAGACUAACUACUGCGAAAGCAUUUGCCAAGGAUGUUUUCAUUAAUCAAGAACGAAAGUUAGGGGAUCGAAGACGAUCAGAUACCGUCGUAGU
RNAcentral lists this ribosomal RNA (450 nucleotides) under uncultured Glomus. Its description in RNAcentral is "SSU rRNA". It matches the Rfam family "Eukaryotic small subunit ribosomal RNA", at positions 569 to 1024 of the family's 1831-position model. The record is from RNAcentral. Lineage: Eukaryota; Fungi; Glomeromycota; Glomeromycetes; Glomerales; Glomeraceae.